RNAcentral lists this unclassified non-coding RNA (353 nucleotides) under uncultured fungus. Its description in RNAcentral is "partial contains small subunit ribosomal RNA, internal transcribed spacer 1, and 5.8S ribosomal RNA". The stretch from base 1 to 73 matches the Rfam family "Eukaryotic small subunit ribosomal RNA", at positions 1759 to 1831 of the family's 1831-position model. Lineage: Eukaryota; Fungi. The record is from RNAcentral.
UCAAACUUGGUCAUUUAGAGGAAGUAAAAGUCGUAACAAGGUUUCCGUAGGUGAACCUGCGGAAGGAUCAUUAAUAAAUCAUGAAACUCCAAGGAUGCCUUCUCCCAACAGCUUUGGCUGGCUUGCAGUUGGUCUCCUUGGUGCUCAUCUUUUACAUCCCAUUCUGUGAACAUGACUUCUGUUGCUUCCCGUGGAUGCGGGCCAGCAAGGGGUAACUCCCUGAUGGUCACCCUGCGGGAAGGGAAUCAUAAACUCUGGUUUCUGUAGUAUUAGUCUGAGUGAUAAUCACAAUCAAACAAGUUAAAACUUUCAACAACGGAUCUCUUGGUUCUCGCAUCGAUGAAGAACGCAGC